AUCAGCUGAUAGUUCUGCAAGCCUGUGUCUGAGGGUACUAGUAUCUUUCUUCGGUUGUUCACCUUCAUUCUUACCAACAUAUACAAGGACACAGAUAAAGCAAAAAAUGCCAGGAGCGAAGGUAAUAAAACUUUUAUCAACAAGUUCUUUGAUCGUGAAUGAUUACUGAUAUUGUAGCACUGUGCUAUACCUAGGCGAGGAAGGCCACACAGCGCAUUGUUCCCCAUUAAUGAUUUGAGUGUGAUAUUUGAGAACACUCCUCCUUCUGGUAUCUGUCCAUCCAAUCUGUUAAAAGAAAGGUUCAAGUUGGCAAGGUAAGUGAGAUUGGUCAAGGAUUUUGGGAUGGCACCGGAGAGUGCAUUGGAGGAUAGGUCCAAUUCCUGGAUAUUAAGUAUAUUGCUGAAUGAACCUGGUAUUGAUCCUUGGAAUAAAUUUCUGGACAGAUUGAGAUAUAUCAUCAUGUGGAGUUCACCAAAGGAGACUGGGAUGUCACCUGACAGCUUGUUUCCUGAUAAAUCCAUCAUGGUAAUUGCUGUCAAUUUUCCAACAUCAGCA
This 555-nucleotide long non-coding RNA is filed under the name Zea mays. RNAcentral describes it as "long non-coding RNA (ZMAY_LNC005063)". Lineage: Eukaryota; Viridiplantae; Streptophyta; Magnoliopsida; Poales; Poaceae. The record is from RNAcentral.